GACGAACCGUGCAAACGUUGUUCUGAAUCACUGGGCUUAAAGGGCGCGUAGGCGGAUCGCCAAGUCCGGGGUGAAAUCUUUCGGCUCAACCGGAAAACUGCCUUGGAUACUGGCGAUCUCGAGGGAGGUAGGGGCCUGUGGAACUUCCGGUGGAGCGGUGAAAUGCGUUGAUAUCGGAAGGAACGCCGGUGGCGAAAGCGACGGGCUGGACCUCUUCUGACGCUGAGGCGCGAAAGCUAGGGGAGCAAACGGG
This 253-nucleotide ribosomal RNA is filed under the name uncultured bacterium. RNAcentral describes it as "partial 16S ribosomal RNA". It matches the Rfam family "Bacterial small subunit ribosomal RNA", at positions 524 to 776 of the family's 1533-position model. The record is from RNAcentral.